RNAcentral lists this ribosomal RNA (253 nucleotides) under uncultured bacterium. RNAcentral describes it as "partial 16S ribosomal RNA". It matches the Rfam family "Bacterial small subunit ribosomal RNA", at positions 524 to 776 of the family's 1533-position model. The record is from RNAcentral.
UACAGAGGGUGCGAGCGUUAAUCGGAAUUACUGGGCGUAAAGCGCACGUAGGCGGCUUUGCAAGUCGGGUGUGAAAUCCCCGGGCUCAACCUGGGAACUGCAUCCGAGACUGCUUUGCUCGAGUAUGGGAGAGGGAAGUGGAAUUUCCGGUGUAGCGGUGAAAUGCGUAGAUAUCGGAAGGAACAUCAGUGGCGAAGGCGACUUCCUGGACCAAUACUGACGCUCAGGUGCGACAGCGUGGGGAGCAAACAGG